CUGCCGUUCCAGCUCCUUAGCUUCCUCAGGGUUGACACGGUAAGCGGCUCGGUUUGGUAGUGGCGCGCCGGGUACAAGAUCGAUCUGAUGUUCUAUGCCACGGAUAGGGGGUAAACCGGCAGGGAUCUCGUCAGGGAAGACAUCCUUGUAACGUCCCAUGAGGUCUUGUACUACGUCCGGUACUUCAGGAGCUUCUAAACCUGCAAAACAACCUUCCUUAAAGAUCAUUAGUAGCACCUGUGUCUCACGUUGUAAUGAUUUAAGCACUUGUCCGGAAGUCAUGUAAAGGUUAGUGUUACUUACCUGGCCGGACUGCGUCAUUGCCUUCUGCAUAUCAUGAACUUCUUGAGGGCUGAGAGGUGCUAGGCUGUGCUUCUUG
This 379-nucleotide long non-coding RNA is filed under the name Brassica rapa (field mustard). Its description in RNAcentral is "long non-coding RNA (BRAP_LNC008578)". The record is from RNAcentral. Lineage: Eukaryota; Viridiplantae; Streptophyta; Magnoliopsida; Brassicales; Brassicaceae.